This 105-nucleotide transfer RNA is filed under the name Nitrososphaerales archaeon. Its description in RNAcentral is "tRNA-Arg". It matches the Rfam family "tRNA". Rfam says of the family: Transfer RNA (tRNA) molecules are approximately 80 nucleotides in length. Their secondary structure includes four short double-helical elements and three loops (D, anti-codon, and T loops). The record is from RNAcentral. Lineage: Archaea; Thermoproteati; Nitrososphaerota; Nitrososphaeria; Nitrososphaerales.
GGGCCCGUAGCUCAGUAUGGAUAGGCCGAUGAAGAAUAUUAUCAUCUGGUUCAAAGCACCGGCCCUCUAAGCCGGGGGUCGAGGGUUCGAAUCCCUCCGGGCCCG